AUUAUUAUUUUCUCCUUUGUCCUUAAGUUGUAUGCUUCACUAUAGAUAUAUCCCUACAUUUUUCUUGCCCUAGAAUAUAUUGUUUUUAGCAGCAAAGGAGCUAUCAAAGUUGUGCAUUGAUAUUUGAAGAAUUUGCAAUGUGUACAAGUUGGAAGAAUUAGGCAAAAUGAAUGUUUCAUUUCAUGAAUAAAGAUGGGCGUUUUGAAUACAGAAUUGUGAUUUUCAAAUUCCAAAGAAUGAAGCGUUAUUUUAAAGAACACUCAUAAUUAUAGAAAUUGUAUGCUCAAACUACCACAGAAUUUGCGAUUUUUCACAGUUUGCAAUACAUGAUGAAAUUAUACAAUAGGCACUUUUUGAACCUCAAAUUUUCGCAAUAGACAGUUUUAAGUAAGAAAGAUUUUCAAGUACUUGAAAAAUUUCAGUUACAUAAUGUUGAUUUUUAUUAGUAAAUGAACCACUUAAAUAAUCUUGUCCAUGAAUUCACUCCUUUUAGCAAAUUUAUCUUCUUCAUUGCUUUUACCAAAUAUUACAAAGUUUUGUAAACCCAAUUUUGUUCUUCUGUUGAUCAUGUUGCUAAAAUUCAAUAUCAUGUGUGCAAGAGUUUCUCUCUUCUUGUACAUUAAAAACAAAUUACAAUGUGAAGAUGCCCAAAAUCUCUAUUUCUUUUGAAAUAAAGCCACAUAAGGCGUUGAUUUGUCUUUUUGUUUUGUGAAGUACCAAACUCGGUUAAAAGUGAGAAUACAAUUCAAAAAUGGUUUUAAAAAAAAAUUACCAUAAGAGAAAUAUGAUUGAAUCUCAUUUGCUUUGUACCUUGUUAUGCAUGGAGGUUUUUCAUUUUAUUAUUAUUAUUAUUAUUAUUUUCCUCCCACUUGGCUUGACUUUAAGUUUUUAAUAUGAAAUCCAUAUGUUGUACUCAAUUUGUUUAAUAAGGUACAAUUUAAUUGAAAGAAAGAGUUGUAUGCUUUUAAAAUUGUGAUACGAAUUUUAUGGUUAUAAAUUUAAUUGCUAUUAUUUGAGCUUGUGAUCUGUAUCUCAGUAAAUGAUGAGUUUUUAAUGAAAAAAAUAAAAAUAAAACCUUAAGAGCAAAAACGCUUCAAUUGUUUACUCAUUUGUAAUUCUAUGAUGGUAUAAAUGAUGAGAAAUUCAAUUUCAAAAUUUUAGAUGUAAAUUUAUUUCAUUUUUCAUACAUAUAAAUGUUAUUUAUUCAAAGAUUAGAAAUAAAAUUAUUAUGUGAAUGUGCAAAUCUCCUCUACUCUUCCAAGUUCUCAAUUCACUAGAAUUCAAGAGAUUAGACAUGUCUCUUCAUUGACCUUUCUUCACAACUAAACCCUAGAAUUAUAACACUCUUCUCAUGCCUAACCUCUUAUCAUUCAUGUCUUUCCUAUUCCACAAAUAUUAAGAAUGGUUAGCUCCUCGAGCAUUAAUUUCUCAUCACAAUUGACUUAAUUAAUUUAUUUUUCUUCUUCUUUAUUCACAUAUUUCUUCACAAGAUACGGAGGAUGGAAUGUAUGUCGAGAUAUUCAACCAUCAUGAAUGAAACAAACAAAGGGUCCACUUGUUAGAAGAACACAUCACCAUGAGAAAGUAAGCCAAAAUUAUAUACAAGCUCCUUCCUUCCAUAAGGUCCAUUUUCUUUUUGCACAUUGAUAAGCCAUAUUUUGCAUUCUCCUUACCAAUAGCUACAUGUGCCCUAUACAAAAUUGACUUAAGUGGGAAGGUGGUCAAAUUCAAGCUGUCAGAUAUGGCUUGCCAUGUAACCUACUUGACACAUCAUGUGGGGCCAAUUUUUGCAUGAUAUUUUACAUUACUUUUUAUUUCAUUUUUUUGUCUUGAUUUUAGGGUCAAAUAGGUUUCAAAGCGGAGGUUUUCAUUCCACCAAUUUAUAAAAAGGAUCUUUAUUGAAAGACUACCACAGAAACAAAAAGAAGGACCUAUUCAUAAACAGCCAUAAAAUGUAGUUUAAAAAAAAAUCAAAAUAUGAGAAGUGUGCAAGUUCAAUGUACAAGGGGGACAAGUUGGGUUGUGGGGGUUCCACAAUUGGUGAUGUGAGGAAUAUUGUUGGAAUGCUUGUUAUCUGGCAUGGCCACAGCUGCACUUGUUUUGUGGAAUCUGAAUGUUUGUGCCAUCAGAUCUAGUGGAAUAAGAAAGUAUAUUUAUCACACUCAAAGUGAAUUUCAUUCACAAUGAUAAGGUUUUAGGGUUAGGGCGAGUUACUAUUGCAAUGGAGAUGUUUGCAGAUUGUGUAAAUGUAUGAAUAAAUAAAUAAGUAUUUUUUAUGUCAGAGGAUCAGGAUUCUAUGCUGCAUGAUGCAACACAAUUGUAUAACAACAACAUGAGAAGAUGGAAUAAAAAGAAGAACAUGACAUCAAAAAUGUGUUGAAUUGCCUCAAACAACUAAAACCUCAACAUCUCAUUAAUAUUAUUAGGACAAUUUUUUUCUGAAGGAAUAUUAUAUAGUUAUUUAGGGUUUUUUAAUUCAAAUCAUUUAAAUUUUUUUUGAAGUAAAUAAUAAUAUUGUUAUUGUUAAAACAUUUUUUUAAAUUAGUGCUACAGUGAUAAUUUUUUUUAUAGGGGAGAGAAGGAGAUAUUUCCAUCAAAAUUGUUUACAAAAAAUAAAUUAUUGGAUAAAAUUUUUAAGCACACAAAGUAUCUUAUAAAUAUUAUUAAAGAUGAAAAUGAUCAUUAACUUAUUGAUACAACAAUAGAAUAGAUUGAAGUACAAGAAUUUGCAAUUGUGAUUGGUGGUUACUAAGUGGUGAAUUUUAGAUAGAUCUAUAAGAGGAUAAGAUGUAAUAAAAAAAUGAUUCACAUUAGAUAAAUCAACAAAUCAAAACCAAAAAA
RNAcentral lists this long non-coding RNA (2841 nucleotides) under Physcomitrium patens. RNAcentral describes it as "long non-coding RNA (PPAT_LNC001449)". Lineage: Eukaryota; Viridiplantae; Streptophyta; Bryopsida; Funariales; Funariaceae. The record is from RNAcentral.